GACAGAGGGUGCAAACGUUGCUCGGAAUCACUGGGCGUAAAGGGCGUGUAGGCGGGAAGGAAAGUCGGGCGUGAAAUCCCUGGGCUCAACCCAGGAACUGCACUCGAAACUUCUUUUCUUGAGUGCCGGAGAGGAAAGCGGAAUACCUGGUGUAGAGGUGAAAUUCGUAGAUAUCAGGUGGAACACCAGUGGCGAAGGCGGCUUUCUGGACGGGUAAC
This 218-nucleotide ribosomal RNA is filed under the name uncultured bacterium. RNAcentral describes it as "partial 16S ribosomal RNA". It matches the Rfam family "Bacterial small subunit ribosomal RNA", at positions 524 to 740 of the family's 1533-position model. The record is from RNAcentral.